RNAcentral lists this ribosomal RNA (489 nucleotides) under uncultured bacterium. RNAcentral describes it as "partial 16S ribosomal RNA". It matches the Rfam family "Bacterial small subunit ribosomal RNA", at positions 28 to 507 of the family's 1533-position model. The record is from RNAcentral.
GACGAACGCUGGCGGCGUGCUUAACACAUGCAAGUCGAACGGUGAAGGGACCAGCUUGCUGGUUCUGGAUGAGUGGCGAACGGGUGAGUAACACGUGAGUAACCUGCCCCCUUCUUCUGGAUAACCGCAUGAAAGUGUGGCUAAUACGGGAUAUUCUGGGUCUGUCGCAUGGCGGGCCCGGGAAAGAUAUUGCUUCGGUGGGGGAUGGGCUCGCGGCCUAUCAGCUUGUUGGUGGGGUGAUGGCCUACCAAGGCGGUGACGGGUAGCCGGCCUGAGAGGGUGGACGGUCACACUGGGACUGAGACACGGACCAGACUCCUACGGGAGGCAGCAGUGGGGAAUAUUGCACAAUGGGCGCAAGCCUGAUGCAGCGACGCCGCGUGAGGGAUGGAGGCCUUCGGGUUGUAAACCUCUUUCGCCAGUGAAGCAGGCCUGCUCCUUGUGGGUGGGUUGACGGUAGCUGGAGAAGAAGCGCCGGCUAACUACGUG